RNAcentral lists this ribosomal RNA (483 nucleotides) under uncultured bacterium. RNAcentral describes it as "partial 16S ribosomal RNA". It matches the Rfam family "Bacterial small subunit ribosomal RNA", at positions 30 to 506 of the family's 1533-position model. The record is from RNAcentral.
AUUGAACGCUGGCGGCAGGCCUAACACAUGCAAGUCGAGCGGAUGAAGGGAGCUUGCUCCUGGAUUCAGCGGCGGACGGGUGAGUAAUGCCUAGGAAUCUGCCUGGUAGUGGGGGAUAACGUCCGGAAACGGGCGCUAAUACCGCAUACGUCCUGAGGGAGAAAGUGGGGGAUCUUCGAACCUCACGCUAUCAGAUGAGCCUAGGUCGGAUUAGCUAGUUGGUGGGGUAAAGGCCUACCAAGGCGACGAUCCGUAACUGGUCUGAGAGGAUGAUCAGUCACACUGGAACUGAGACACGGUCCAGACUCCUACGGGAGGCAGCAGUGGGGAAUAUUGGACAAUGGGCGAAAGCCUGAUCCAGCCAUGCCGCGUGUGUGAAGAAGGUCUUCGGAUUGUAAAGCACUUUAAGUUGGGAGGAAGGGCAGUAAGUUAAUACCUUGCUGUUUUGACGUUACCAACAGAAUAAGCACCGGCUAACUUCGU